GGGCAACAUGGCUGAAGGUGGAUACAGGGCAGGAGGAACAGAGACACCGGAAGAGGAAGAUCUAAGAAUGUGGGCAGAUAUGAUGAGACACACAGAUGAAGACUGCAGAUCUCCACAUGUCAGACGCAACAGUGACACCUCUCCCUCCAGAAGAGACGAGGCAGAGGAGUCUCAACUAAAACAUCUUCACUUCUUCUACAUUGGUUUGAUUUAAAGAUCUUUUAAAUGUUUAUUAAAAUUAUAACGCUCAGUCGACUGUCUGUCCCUCUACACUCCUCUAACCUGCCUUCAGGUCAUCAAACACCAGAGCAUCAAGUGUACCAACAGUUGAAACAAUAAAGUAUUGAAGGGAAACCUUUUGUUAUAAUGGACCGAGACUGUGGACAGCUUGUCUAUAAAUAUUAAACAUGAAACUUCUGUAAACUCCUUCAACAAACAUUUCAAGACUGAACUGUAGAAUCUGGGUUAAAUUAGUUACAUCGUGAGUUCAUGAAGUAUUUUCUACUCUGUGACCACUCAGUCUCUCAGUGUUUAUGAUUAUGUAUGAAUUCAGAGAAUAAACUGUAUUAUGUUGUA
Molecule: long non-coding RNA, 576 nt
Organism: Seriola aureovittata
Lineage: Eukaryota; Metazoa; Chordata; Actinopteri; Carangiformes; Carangidae
Exons: 2
Source: RefSeq, a predicted model, not a curated record